This 373-nucleotide ribosomal RNA is filed under the name uncultured organism. RNAcentral's name for it is "bacterial SSU rRNA". It matches the Rfam family "Bacterial small subunit ribosomal RNA", at positions 526 to 896 of the family's 1533-position model. The record is from RNAcentral.
CAGAGGGUGCGAGCGUUAAUCGGAAUUACUGGGCGUAAAGCGUGCGUAGACGGUUAUUUAAGUCGGGUGUGACGAGCCCCGGGCUCAACCUGGGAAUUGCAUUCGAGACUGAAUAGCUAGGGUACGGUAGAGGGAAGUUGGAAUUUCCGGUGUAGCGGUGAAAUGCGUAGAUAUCGGAAGGAACAUCAGUGGCGAAAGCGACUUCCUGGACCAGUACCGACGUUCAGGCACGAAAGCGUGGGGAGCAAACAGGAUUAGAUACCCUGGUAGUCCACGCCAUAAACGAUGAGGACUAGACGUUGGAGGGGUAAGCCUUUCAGUGUCGUAGCUAACGCGCUAAGUCCUCCGCCUGGGGAGUACGGCCGCAAGGUUG